AAAACAGGGAUGAACGCUGGCGGCGUGCCUAACACAUGCAAGUCGAGCGGUAUAUGGUGGAAUGAAACUUCGGUCGAGUGAAGCCAUAGAGAGCGGCGGACGGGUGAGUAACGCGUAGGCAACCUGCCCCAUACAGAGGGAUAGCCUCGGGAAACCGGGAUUAAAACCUCAUAACGCGAGGAGUUCACAUGGACUUCUCGCCAAAGAUUCAUCGGUAUGGGAUGGGCCUGCGUCUGAUUAGCUAGUUGGUGAGGUAACGGCUCACCAAGGCGACGAUCAGUAGCCGACCUGAGAGGGUAAUCGGCCACAUUGGAACUGAGACACGGUCCAAACUCCUACGGGAGGCAGCAGUGGGGAAUAUUGCACAAUGGGCGAAAGCCUGAUGCAGCAACGCCGCGUGAGCGAUGAAGGCCUUUGGGUCGUAAAGCUCUGUCCUUGGGGAAGAAACAAAUGACGGUACCCUUGGAGGAAGCCCCGGCUAACUACGUGCCAG
RNAcentral lists this ribosomal RNA (493 nucleotides) under uncultured bacterium. RNAcentral's name for it is "bacterial SSU rRNA". It matches the Rfam family "Bacterial small subunit ribosomal RNA", at positions 27 to 511 of the family's 1533-position model. The record is from RNAcentral.